RNAcentral lists this ribosomal RNA (301 nucleotides) under uncultured bacterium. RNAcentral describes it as "partial 16S ribosomal RNA". It matches the Rfam family "Bacterial small subunit ribosomal RNA", at positions 509 to 807 of the family's 1533-position model. The record is from RNAcentral.
CAGUAGCCGCGGGAAUACGGAGGGUGCAAGCGUUAAUCGGAAUUACUGGGCGUAAAGGGCGCGUAGGUGGUUAUGUAAGUGAGAUGUGAAAUCCCCGGGCUCAACCUGGGAACUGCAUCUUAUACUGCGUAGCUGGAGUGCAGUAGAGGUGAGUGGAAUUUCCGGUGUAGCGGUGAAAUGCGUAGAUAUCGGAAGGAACACCUGUGGCGAAAGCGGCUCACUGGACCAUUUCUGACGCUGAUGCACGAAAGCUAGGGGAGCAAACAGGAUUAGAUACCCCUGUAGUCCCUGUCUCUUAUAC